RNAcentral lists this ribosomal RNA (497 nucleotides) under uncultured bacterium. RNAcentral's name for it is "partial 16S ribosomal RNA". It matches the Rfam family "Bacterial small subunit ribosomal RNA", at positions 28 to 507 of the family's 1533-position model. The record is from RNAcentral.
GAUGAACGCUGGCGGCGUGCCUAAUACAUGCAAGUCGAGCGAACGGACGAGAAGCUUGCUUCUCUGAUGUUAGCGGCGGACGGGUGAGUAACACGUGGAUAACCUACCUAUAAGACUGGGAUAACUUCGGGAAACCGGAGCUAAUACCGGAUAAUAUUUUGAACCGCAUGGUUCAAAAGUGAAAGACGGUCUUGCUGUCACUUAUAGAUGGAUCCGCGCUGCAUUAGCUAGUUGGUAAGGUAACGGCUUACCAAGGCAACGAUGCAUAGCCGACCUGAGAGGGUGAUCGGCCACACUGGAACUGAGACACGGUCCAGACUCCUACGGGAGGCAGCAGUAGGGAAUCUUCCGCAAUGGGCGAAAGCCUGUCGGAGCAACGCCGCGUGAGUGAUGAAGGUCUUCGGAUCGUAAAACUCUGUUAUUAGGGAAGAACAUAUGUGUAAGUAACUGUGCACAUCUUGACGGUACCUAAUCAGAAAGCCACGGCUAACUACGUG